This 391-nucleotide unclassified non-coding RNA is filed under the name Papenfussiella kuromo. Its description in RNAcentral is "partial ITS2". The record is from RNAcentral. Lineage: Eukaryota; Phaeophyceae; Ectocarpales; Chordariaceae.
GACACCACUCGCCCCGUCCCCCUUUUUAUUCCUUCUUACUUCUCGAGGAAGAGAGGAGGGCGCGCGCCGGACUCUGCGUGUUCCGGAGGGCGAGCUCCGAGUGACCGAACCUCGUGAACGAAACCUCCUCCCAUCAUUGAUAGCAUGUGCGACUGCCGGCAGGGACUUACAUUGACUGGGAGUUGUUGACGGCGUGUUGCUCGCUCGACUCGAGCGAGCGAAAUCUCGACUCCCAAAACCCCGGAGUUUCGUGUUGUCGGUGGUGUUUUAUCGUACAUAAUCAUUGGUGAGAGGAUUAUCAGGUUGUAGUUCGGGUGCCUCAUCACCUACCUACUUACUUACUUAAUAGAUAGAUAGAUAAGUUAGAGGAAUGAUACUACCCCAACUUUCG